RNAcentral lists this transfer RNA (76 nucleotides) under Thiomicrorhabdus arctica. It matches the Rfam family "tRNA". From Rfam's summary of the family: Transfer RNA (tRNA) molecules are approximately 80 nucleotides in length. Their secondary structure includes four short double-helical elements and three loops (D, anti-codon, and T loops). Lineage: Bacteria; Pseudomonadati; Pseudomonadota; Gammaproteobacteria; Thiotrichales; Piscirickettsiaceae. RNAcentral also lists the same sequence under 3 other names. The record is from RNAcentral.
GGGUGAUUAGCUCAGCUGGGAGAGCAUCGCCCUUACAAGGCGAGGGUCACUGGUUCGAGCCCAGUAUCACCCACCA